UACGGGGGGGGGCAAGCGUUGUUCGGAAUUACUGGGCGUAAAGGGCUGGUAGGCGGCCAACUAAGUCGGAUGUGAAAUCCCCAGGCUUAACCUGGGAACUGCAUCCGAUACUGGUCGGCUUGAAUCCGGGAGAGGGAUGCAGAAUUCCAGGUGUAGCGGUGAAAUGCGUAGAUAUCUGGAGGAAUACCGGUGGCGAAGGCGGCAUCCUGGAC
Molecule: ribosomal RNA, 212 nt
Filed under: uncultured bacterium
Lineage: Bacteria
Description: partial 16S ribosomal RNA
Rfam family: Bacterial small subunit ribosomal RNA
Source: RNAcentral